CAACCCCACGUUUCUUUGUUGAGCUGUGUCUUGAAGGCAAAAGAGAAAAAAAAAUAUUCUACACUAGUCUUUUCUGUUUCUAGUUGAGCUGCGUGCGUGAAUGCUUACUUUCUUUUGUUUGUUUAUGAUGAUUUCACUUAACUUUAAAGACAUAUUUGCACAAAACCUUUGUUUAAAGAUCUGCAGCUUUUGCACUAUUUUUUAAUAUAAAUAUGUCAGUGCUUGUUUGAUGGAAACUUCUAUCCACGUGUGUCAAGACUUUUAAGGGAGAAAUGUCGGAAUAUCCCGGUCGACUUCAGGCAGAGCGUGGGCUCCACGCUGGGGCUGGAGAGAGGCUCCCCAGGGCUGACCUCCUGCA
This 358-nucleotide long non-coding RNA is filed under the name Bos taurus (domestic cattle). RNAcentral's name for it is "long non-coding RNA NONBTAT005569". The record is from RNAcentral. Lineage: Eukaryota; Metazoa; Chordata; Mammalia; Artiodactyla; Bovidae.